AACGAACGCUGGCGGCAUGCCUAACACAUGCAAGUCGAACGAGACCUUCGGGUUUAGUGGCGCACGGGUGCGUAACGCGUGGGAACCUGCACUUAGGUUCGGAAUAACUCCCCGAAAGGGGUGCUAAUACCGGUUAAUGUCUUAGGACCAAAGAUUUAUCGCCUUUGGAUGGGCGCGCGUUGGAUUAGCGAGUUGGUAGUGUAAAAGCCUACCAAGGCGACGAUCCAUAGCUGGUCUGGGAGGAUGAUUAGCCACACUGGGACUGAGACACGGUCCAGACUCCUACGGAAGGCAGCAGUGGGGAAUAUUAGAGGAUGGGCGAAAGCCUGAUCCAGCAAUGCCGCGUAAGUGAUGAAGGCCUUAGGGUUGUAAAGCUCUUUUACCCGAGAUGAUAAUGACGGUACCGGGAGAAUAAGCACCGGCUAACUCCGUG
This 433-nucleotide ribosomal RNA is filed under the name uncultured bacterium. RNAcentral's name for it is "partial 16S ribosomal RNA". It matches the Rfam family "Bacterial small subunit ribosomal RNA", at positions 29 to 507 of the family's 1533-position model. The record is from RNAcentral.